CAGUAGCCGCGGUAAUACGUAGGGCGCAAGCGUUAUCCGGAAUUAUUGGGCGUAAAGAGCUCGUAGGCGGUUUGUCGCGUCUGCCGUGAAAGUCCGGGGCUCAACCCCGGAUCUGCGGUGGGUACGGGCAGACUAGAGUGAUGUAGGGGAGACUGGAAUUCCUGGUGUAGCGGUGAAAUGCGCAGAUAUCAGGAGGAACACCGAUGGCGAAGGCAGGUCUCUGGGCAUUAACUGACGCUGAGGAGCGAAAGCAUGGGGAGCAAACAGGAUUAGAUACCCGAGUAGUCCCUGUCUCUUAUAC
This 301-nucleotide ribosomal RNA is filed under the name uncultured bacterium. RNAcentral describes it as "partial 16S ribosomal RNA". It matches the Rfam family "Bacterial small subunit ribosomal RNA", at positions 509 to 807 of the family's 1533-position model. The record is from RNAcentral.